AUUUCAUUGGAGAUAGUUCUGCCACAGUCCCCCAUGUGACACAUGGGAAUCUGAAGCCAAGAGAGAGCAGGACUUUGCCAGAGAACAUACAGCAGUCCUAAGAUGUCUGGCUGAGUGGACAUGGAGAGCAGCUUCCAGUAACAGAGCUGAGGGCAUGAACGUCAGAUGGGCAAUCAGGAGAGAGAAGAGCUGCCUGGAGGAGGAGUCCCUGAGGCCUGGCAGCAGUAUGUGCUGACUGGGCCAGGGCCACCAGUCAGUGCCGACUGAGGCCAUAGCCACAGCACCCCCCACCCAAGGAAAAUGUCAUGUGCUCCAGGCACAUCACAGCCUUCUUGCAGUGAGGAAUCCCAGAAAGCACUUCAGCACUUUGGGGCCAUUUAAAAUAGCGAAAUCAACAAAAAGCACAGAAAUGUGAAGAGCAUGGCACUAGACGCACUACGGAAAGGACAAGUUAACAGUGUGAGCUGACUCAGGAAGGCGGAGUGUCGGUUGGCUUGCUGGACUUCAGCUGCGCGUGUGCACGUGGGGCCACUCUGCGCAUGUCCGCCAGCGACGCUGAGGGUGCGGUGAGCGCUGAUUGGGGGUUAAAGUACAUUUCACUGAGCAGGCGCAUUGGCGAAUCCGGGAUCUGUGAACCAUAAGGAUGGAGGCCAACGUCCCUGGGUCGUCGCAAGCGUUAACAAGGCUAACAAGAAAGACUUGCAAAAUGUUUUGCAGAAAUCAAAAUGCAUUAUGUGUGAAGCAUUCCAUCAGAAGGGAAAUCAGG
Long non-coding RNA from Hippopotamus amphibius kiboko, 766 nucleotides. RefSeq lists it as uncharacterized. The record is from RefSeq and is a predicted model, not a curated record. Lineage: Eukaryota; Metazoa; Chordata; Mammalia; Artiodactyla; Hippopotamidae. The transcript has 4 exons.